This is a long non-coding RNA of Gadus macrocephalus (Pacific cod), 960 nucleotides long. RefSeq lists it as uncharacterized. The transcript has 2 exons. NCBI's taxonomy places the organism in Eukaryota, Metazoa, Chordata, Actinopteri, Gadiformes, Gadidae. The record is from RefSeq and is a predicted model, not a curated record.
UCAUCUGCCUCCACGGUGUCACCUGGGCCCUCCUCCUCCUCCAAGAUAUCCCCUGCUGCCAUGCAAAUGUUGUGCAGGAUUCAGCAGGCACCUACCACCUUGGGGGCAAACAGAGACCGGAUCUCCAGAUACCGCAGGAAGAUGGCCCGCCAGCGGGUUUUGAGGAUCCCAAAUGACCUCUCCACAAUGUUACGCCCUCUAGCGUGGUGCCUGUUGUAUCUGGCUUCAACCUGACCUGGUAAUCAAAAAUCACAUGGAUGUAUCAGUGUCACCAAACUAACAAUUUGUUUCUGUGCAUGUGUGACAGAAGAGAAGGUGCUUACCGGCUACAGGGUGUCGGUAUGGCGUCAUGAUGGCCACAGGACGCUGCAGGCAUGGGUACCCUCCAUCACCCAGCAAGAAGUACCCAGCUGGUGGCAAAACUUUUAUGUGGCAUCCAUCAAUGGCCCCAGCAGCACAUCUGAAGGCCUCGUGACCUGCCAGGCGAGCAAAGCCAGCCCCCACCGCCUCCAUCUCCUCUGCCUUGGGGAAAUGAAUCACCCUGUGGAGGAUGGCCAUCAUCUCCUCCACCACGCCAUGGACCGUCCUGCAAACUGGACAGGGGCAUCCCGAAGGCAUCUGCCGUUACCCUGUACGAUGCUCCACAGGCCAGCCAGUACACUGCCACCAGCACCUCCACCUCAUGGCUCCAUCCAUGGACUUUUUGCCGGGGCAGCAAGGCAAGCAGCCGGUUGAAGCUCUCCCUGGAGAGCCUGAAGGCUGGCUUCAGGUCCCCUCCAGAGAAAAACAUGGCUAGGAUGGGCACAGUGAUGUUCAGCUGUGUACAGCUGUGAGUUGCUUUGGUCCUGGUACCAAACAAAGAAAAUAAAUAUAUUUUUAUAUGCCAAUGGUUAGGUUCAUAUAUUUUUAGAUUUAUUGCUUAUUUGUGUAUUUUAAUGUACAAUAAAUUGCAAUUAUGUA